UACAGAGACCUCAAGCGUUAUCCGGAUUGAUUGGGUGUAAAGCGUGCGCAGGCGGUUGGUUAAGCCGACGGUCAAAUCUUGCGGCUCAACUGCAAGAUUGCCGCCGGAACUGGCUAACUAGAGCACGGAAGAGGCGAGCGGAAUUGCCGGUGUAACGGUAAAAUGUGUUAAUAUCGGCAAGAACACCAGAGGCGAAAGCGGCUCGCUGGUACGUUGCUGACGCUGUGGCACGAAAGCGCGGGGAG
This 245-nucleotide ribosomal RNA is filed under the name uncultured bacterium. Its description in RNAcentral is "partial 16S ribosomal RNA". It matches the Rfam family "Bacterial small subunit ribosomal RNA", at positions 524 to 768 of the family's 1533-position model. The record is from RNAcentral.